Molecule: ribosomal RNA, 407 nt
Filed under: uncultured bacterium
Lineage: Bacteria
Description: partial 16S ribosomal RNA
Rfam family: Bacterial small subunit ribosomal RNA
Source: RNAcentral
AUUGAACGCUGGCGGCAGGCCUAACACAUGCAAGUCGAGCGGAGCGGCGGACGGGUGAGUAAUACCUAGGAAUCUGCCUGGUAGUGGGGGCUAACGUCAGGAAACGGGCGCUAAUACCACAUACUAUCAGAUGAGCCUAGGUCGGAUUAGCUAGUUGGGGGGGUAAAGGUCAACCAAGGCGACGAUCCGUAACUGGUCUGAGAGGAUGAUCAGCCACACUGGAACUGAGACACGGUCCAGACUCCUACGGGAGGCAGCAGUGGGGAAUUUUGGACAAUGGGCGAAAGCCUGAUCCAGCCAUGCCGCGUGUGUGAAGAAGGUCUUCGGGUUGUAAAGCACUUUAAGUUGGGAGGCGGUACCAACAGAAUAAGCACCGACUAACUUCGUGCCAGCAGCCGCGGUAAUUC